Long non-coding RNA from Antechinus flavipes (yellow-footed antechinus), 396 nucleotides. RefSeq lists it as uncharacterized. The record is from RefSeq and is a predicted model, not a curated record. NCBI's taxonomy places the organism in Eukaryota, Metazoa, Chordata, Mammalia, Dasyuromorphia, Dasyuridae. The transcript is spliced from 3 exons.
UCAGAAUAGAUCAACCUUCACUGACCAAUUCCCCAUUCCACAAGGAUGUCUAGGCUCAGAUAUGGCUAUAUUUCUCUUAAAGACUACUGUUAAUUUAUAGAGCAAACUGCAAGACAAGAAUGGAUUCCACCCUCCUACUGUCUUCCACUCUAGACUACCACUAGUUUAUAGACCAAACUGCAGGACAAGAAUGGAUAACUUCCUACCCUUCUCCUAGACAUCACAAUGUCAUCUCCCAUCAGAUUCUCUCUCUUCAUCUCUCUCUACCCCAUUCCCAUUGAGAAGACACAAGUGAAGUAAUGUAAAACAUUUCUAUAAGUCAUGUUGUAAAAGGAAAUAUAGAGUUCCCCAAGAAAAAUCUUCAAGAAAAAUAAAGCUUAAAAAAGUAUUCUUCAA